RNAcentral lists this small RNA (3335 nucleotides) under Drosophila pseudoobscura pseudoobscura. RNAcentral's name for it is "GA32752". Lineage: Eukaryota; Metazoa; Arthropoda; Insecta; Diptera; Drosophilidae. The record is from RNAcentral.
AUAGAUUUUUGUGCCCAUUUUAUGUACUGCCAAGAGAUGAUCGUUCUUCGAUACGUCAGAGUCUAUCAAUGGAAAAGAUGUCGAUACAAACUCAAUUUCAACGCACCUCUGGCAGCGAUACUGUUUCCUCGAGCUACAGCCUCGUUCCAAAUGACUUAAGCCAAAAACAGAUGUACAAGCCAAUCGGCUCGUCCUGGCUCAUGAGGAUAACUUGCCUCCGCAAUAGUGGCAAGUGGUUCGGAUCGUUCCUGUGAUCGCUGGCCACAAUAAUCAAAUCCGAGUGGUAGAUUUCAAAACAGCGAAAGGAAUUUUUCUUAACGUAAUCCACAAGGUUGUCCCUAAAUCAGGUAUUCGUACCGCCAUUGUCCUCGAGUCAAAUUGCCCAAGACGCUGGUAUGCCGUGAGUCGGUAAAGUUUCUACCACCGUUCUCCGCCACUUGCUUACUAAGACGUCAUCGGAUUGGGACAAUCCACUCGAUGCGGGGACUGGGGAGCAGCCGAAAACAUAUGCCGAGCGAGCGACAAAAGUUCGAAAAUUAAAAGUUUCCGCUGCGGCUCUGCCAGAAAGUAUGGAAAAGUCGCAGACCCAGAUGGAGACCCGGAGGAGAAGCGGGAUAUGGAUAUGGAUACGGAUACAGAGAAGCGACUGCGGCAAACGAACUGCAAAUGUGCAGGCGUAUUCGUGUGUGGAAAACCGUAAUUAUGACGCUUGUUAGCAGCUACCCCUUGAAUAUGGGAAACAUUGGGCUGGAUGAUAUUCAUAUGCAGCAAAAAGGAGUGCCAGGCGGAUAAUCACUAGUUAUAAAUAACAGAUCGAAAGGUCUAGAUUACCUGGAGAAGCUUGAUGCCGAUAAAGAAUACAAUAUAUACUUGAUGUUCUUGAAAAUGCAAAAUCAUAAUGCCCUCUGGAAGCGUAUAAAAAGAGAAAGCAGCACAAGCCAGCCAAUUUCAGACCAAGUCCUGGAAAUGGACCAACUCCAAGUGCUGUAGGUCCUGCUGCUGCUGGUGCUCCUGCUGCUGCUGGUGCUGCUUUCGUUCUCUCUCCCGAUGAUGUGUCUUAUCUUGUCCUGCAGUGGCUGAGCGAUGCCAGCGCAUCCUGGAAGCUUUUUAUCUUGGCGUCAUGUUGAUGUUUGUCGGAAACUUGAUUAUUUUCAUCGUUUUUUUCAGAGCCAGCGAAUGGGUCUCCAUAUGGCUGAAGAUGUUUGGAUGCUGGCGGCGGUUGAGAGCAAAGAAGCAGUCUGGGAUUAGCCCUCCCACAGAAACCCACAAAAUGGCAGGGAAAAACACGACAGCCAAACAAAAAAAAAAAAACGGAAAAAAAACUUGCACGAUAUUCUGUGGAUAGAAGUUGAAAAUAAGGAGUUUCGCAGCAAUGUAAAUGCAACUUUAACUUCUCAUACCCGCAACAAGAGUUCGGGGUUACAGGUUGCUCUGGUUUGACUGUUUCCUGUUGUUUUUGACAAACAAGGAGAGCACACUCGUUCCUCGUAAGUAAAAUAGGUUGUAAUAAGAGCAGUUAACAACAUGAGUGAGGCCAAGGCGAGCGGAACAGGACGAGGCCAAGACACCUGAACGUCACGGCACAAACGUGUGUACAGUGGAGAUGCCUUCUAAUGGACAGAAGGAGUUGCGUACACCAAGAAAGUAGUAAAUCUUAAGAACGAAAUGGAAAGUUUAAUGGAACGAAAAACUCCCAUGUUGAAAAGUUUAUUUCAACAAUGUAUUUGAGAGGAUUAAAAAGGUGUGCAUGCAUCAUAAGGGAAAGCAUAGAAAAGAGCCCACACUCACUGUACCUAUGCCAAAACCGCUACAGGGGUUCUGCCCUGUGCCACAGAGCAUGGAAAGCAGCGGCAGGGACCGAGGGAGCGCUCCUGACAACUGACAACUCCUUUAAAAUGUAGUUACUGUUGUUAUUAUUCAACCUUAAUGAACUUAACAAGCUCGCACAACGACGACGACGACGACGGCUACGAGGACGAAGACGACAUGCUGCCAGGCCGGCAGCAGUCGGACACAGGAAUCCCGCCCCCACCUAUAGACCACCAAGCCCACCUCCACACAAGCAGCCAGUCAGACAGACAGACAGACAGACGAGCAAGUCAAACAUAGAGGGAAAGGCAGAGACAGGGAGAGAGUGGAAGAAUGGAAGAGGACGCUCUCAAUGGCGCAGGGUCACGUAACUCAAAUAAAGCGCCAAAGCCACCAGCCGCAAAAAAAAAUCACAAAAGAACCAAAGGAAAACAACAAAAUGAAGCGAAGACAGGGCAGGACAGUGCACGCCGCCAAGGGAUUGAGCGGCACAGGCCACCUUUACGCCCUGUCCCAUGCACAUUGUGCAUUUUGGCCCUCGCCAAAGCCGAGGCAAAUUAAAAAUGUUUCACAAAUAUUGGGAGAACGAGGCCGGAACACAGAGAGCGGAACGCUGCGGACGGGCUCGCAAGGCAAGAGCUUAAACGGAUAUGAUUAUUGUAUUUCGUAUCGAUUGCAUCAAAUAUUGAGGGGCAGCAUACUUCAGAAUAUUUUUUUCAAACAUAUGAACUUGGGAUUUGAUAGAUUGAUGGCCAGCUUGCCAGCUUAAUGUUCCGAAGGCUCUGCCAUUCUUCACUUAUUCUUGAACUACGGGACACUUUAACACUUUCUUUUAUAUCCGAAAAGACAUUAAUAGAAAUGAAAUAGGCCCCUCCCCUGAUUACUUACAAUUAGCUGAAUUUAAUUGCCUAUAGAGCGAUAUAAGGUAUUUUUAUCAUGAAAUCUCAAAAUACGGUCUACACGUGGCUGAUUCGAAUACUUGUAAAUAUUAUUCUUCUCCGAAUACACCGAUUGGAUUAGACGCCGCGCUGCAACGAGGUUGGGUGUGCAAUACGGUCAGGUCGAAGGUUGAACUAGACAUCCCGCAGAGCCCACGCAUGUGACCUCCACUUCACAACCACCAUCGAAGAUAUCCCGGCCAUCAAUUUGCCAAAAGUGCUCAAAGCCAACGCUUCGGGAGUUCUUUAAAGUGAGAUCUAUGCCCCUCUCAGGGAUCUUCUUGCCACCAAGUGCAAUGCGGGUCGCCUCAGACGCUGUACGCCUGCGUUGUAGCAUCCUAAAAUUUAAGUGAAACUUUUGUAAUAUUUCUUGAAGAACUGACGGGGUUGUUACUUUACCCGUUAUCUCCUAAACUCCGGACACUGCACACUGGAUACAUACACUAUAUACGGAUAGAAUCGAUGCAGACUCGGAAAUGUACUUGGGCCAUUCUUUUACGCUGAUUUAGAUUUGGGAUGUGGAGUAGGACUACUGGGGAUACCACAAUAAAAAAAAACGCGCUUAGAACUCUACCUGUAUGGUGGUGU